This 460-nucleotide ribosomal RNA is filed under the name uncultured bacterium. RNAcentral's name for it is "partial 16S ribosomal RNA". It matches the Rfam family "Bacterial small subunit ribosomal RNA", at positions 338 to 795 of the family's 1533-position model. The record is from RNAcentral.
CCUACGGGAGGCAGCAGUGAGGAAUAUUGGUCAAUGGACGAGAGUCUGAACCAGCCAAGUAGCGUGAAGGAUGACUGCCCUAUGGGUUGUAAACUUCUUUUAUAUGGGAAUAAAAUGUUCCACGUGUGGGAUUUUGUAUGUACCCUAUGAAUAAGGAUCGGCUAACUCCGUGCCAGCAGCCGCGGUAAUACGGAGGAUCCGAGCGUUUUCCGGAUUUAGUGGGUUUAAAGGGAGCGUAGGUGGAUUGUUAAGUCAGUUGUGAAAGUUUGCGGCUCAACCGUAAAAUUGCAGUUGAAACUGGCAGUCUUGAGUGCAGUAGAGGUGGGCGGAAUGCGUGGUGUAGCGGUGAAAUGCUUAGAUAUCACGAAGAACUCCGAUUGCGAAGGCAGCUCACUGGACUGCAACUGACACUGAGGCUCGAAAGUGUGGGUAUCAAACAGGAUUAGAUACCCCAGUAGUC